UUCCAGUGUGCUCCUGGGUUCUCACUGGUGGGUGCAGCGACUGCCACUUGUAACAACUCUGGUCUCUGGGAUCCUGACCCGGCUCUAUUGGAAUGUUUUUCCUGUGUCCUGCCUGUCCCUCCACUCAAUGGAGUGUUACUCAACACCAGCUCUCAGAACAUUAACCUAAUGGAGGGCUCAGUCAUUACCUUCCAAUGUGAUUCUGGGUUCUCACUGGUGGGUGCAGCGACUGCCACUUGUAUAGCAACUCUGGUCUCUGAGAUCCUGACCCUGCUCUAUUGGAGUGUUUUCAAUCACCCACUCUAUUUACCGGAGAGAUUCUUUCUAUCAGUGUGGUUGUCACUGCAGUUGCUUUCUUAGUCAUUGGAUUCCUCGCUGGACUCCUAGGAUGCACCUUUGCUCUCGUAAGAAGGCAGUGUACUUCCCAGCAACUAAA
Long non-coding RNA from Halichondria panicea, 436 nucleotides. RefSeq lists it as uncharacterized. NCBI's taxonomy places the organism in Eukaryota, Metazoa, Porifera, Demospongiae, Suberitida, Halichondriidae. The record is from RefSeq and is a predicted model, not a curated record. The transcript is spliced from 3 exons.